Molecule: non-coding RNA, 84 nt
Organism: Echinostoma caproni
Lineage: Eukaryota; Metazoa; Platyhelminthes; Trematoda; Plagiorchiida; Echinostomatidae
Source: Rfam
GGCCUCGUAGCUCAGCUGGUAGAGCGUGCGUUGUACAAAGGCGUAGGUGGCGUCCUUGCGUGGGUUCGAAUCCCACCGAGGCCA